GAUGUUCCCUCUUUCAGCACCUUCUGAAGGUUGGCUAGUUUUCCUGCCCUGGGUUUCCAUGCGAUUGGUUGGUACUUUUCUUUCUUUCUUUCUUUUUCAGUCUUGAAAAAUGUUUAUUUGUUGACAUGUAGAAAAAAGAUGAAACUACCAGAAAUUGGUUCAUAGAGUGAAGGGAGAAAUGAAGCUUUUCCACCAGCUUAGCACAGACUGUGCUAUACAACGGUCACAAUCCUGACAGCGGAGUUUCUAACGCAGAAAUGGAAUCCAGUGCUACAGAGAAGCUCAGAGCACUUAGGACAUUGAGAAGGCGGGUUUGUUUUCCCAGGCAGUAAAUAUAUGCU
This 341-nucleotide long non-coding RNA is filed under the name Bos taurus (domestic cattle). RNAcentral's name for it is "long non-coding RNA NONBTAT016803". Lineage: Eukaryota; Metazoa; Chordata; Mammalia; Artiodactyla; Bovidae. The record is from RNAcentral.